RNAcentral lists this non-coding RNA (31 nucleotides) under Mus musculus (house mouse). The record is from RNAcentral. Lineage: Eukaryota; Metazoa; Chordata; Mammalia; Rodentia; Muridae.
UAGUGGUGAAUUAGUUAAACAGAUUUAGCUC